Molecule: ribosomal RNA, 399 nt
Filed under: uncultured bacterium
Lineage: Bacteria
Description: bacterial SSU rRNA
Rfam family: Bacterial small subunit ribosomal RNA
Source: RNAcentral
GGGGAAUUUUGCGCAAUGGGGGCAACCCUGACGCAGCAACGCCGCGUGCGGGACGACGGCCUUCGGGUUGUAAACCGCUUUCAGCAGGGAAGAAAUUCGACGGUACCUGCAGAAGAAGCUCCGGCUAACUACGUGCCAGCAGCCGCGGUAUACGUAGGGAGCGAGCGUUAUCCGGAUUCAUUGGGCGUAAAGAGCGCGUAGGCGGCCUCUCAAGCGGGAUCUCUAAUCCGAGGGCUCAACCCCCGGCCGGAUCCCGAACUGGGAGGCUCGAGUUCGGUAGAGGCAGGCGGAAUUCCCGGUGUAGCGGUGGAAUGCGCAGAUAUCGGGAAGAACACCGAUGGCGAAGGCAGCCUGCUGGGCCGCAACUGACGCUGAGGCGCGAAAGCUAGGGGAGCGAAC